This 490-nucleotide ribosomal RNA is filed under the name uncultured bacterium. RNAcentral's name for it is "partial 16S ribosomal RNA". It matches the Rfam family "Bacterial small subunit ribosomal RNA", at positions 30 to 507 of the family's 1533-position model. The record is from RNAcentral.
ACUGAACGCUGGCGUCAGGCCUAACACAUGCAAGUCGAACGGUAACAGGAAGACGCUUGCUUCUUUGCUGACGAGUGGCGGACGGGUGAGUAAUGUCUGGGAAACUGCCUGAUGGAGGGGGAUAACUACUGGAAACGGUAGCUAAUACCGCAUAACGUCGCAAGACCAAAGAGGGGGACCUUCGGGCCUCUUGCCAUCGGAUGUGCCCAGAUGGGAUUAGCUAGUAGGUGGGGUAACGGCUCACCUAGGCGACGAUCCCUAGCUGGUCUGAGAGGAUGACCAGCCACACUGGAACUGAAACACGGUCCAGACUCCUACGGGAGGCAGCAGUGGGGAAUAUUGCACAAUGGGCGCAAGCCGGAUGCAGCCAUGCCGCGUGUAUGAAGAAGGCCUUCGGGUUGUAAAGUACUUUCAGCGGGGAGGAAGGGAGUAAAGUUAAUACCUUUACUCAUUGACGUUACCCGCAGAAGAAGCACCGGCUAACUCCGUG